ACUUAUAACCGUUUCCGCCGGGUCCGAUGCACACCGUUACAAUGCAGGCGUGUUUUGGCGGAUGCGGUGUUAUUGAGCAAUCAGCAAGUCACCGCAGUCCGGCGAACAUACCGUUUUGGCGAUGUUAUUGCUAACGGGCGAUAAGAAGUGUGAUAAUGAGUUUCGAUUCGCCGUUUAGUUCGGCGCUCACGGGUCUUAUCAUCCGCUUGUGUACAGUGAUAAUUGCUUAUCCUAACUGUGCAAUCACGGUCUUGAUCACCGCGGUUGCAAUGGUAAAACGACCGGUUCAAACGGCUGUCGCGGUAUAAAAGUAUACGAUGAGACUCACGGGCUUCGCAUUUAAUGGCUGCCGUCUGAAUUUCAGCAACAUUAUAGACAGUACAUCGCAGUUAGCUAUUAUCCGUAUAGCUGUGGCUGCAAUAAUGUCGUUUGAUAACUGUACGCACUUUUCGACAACCGCGUAGCCGUAGAACCAGCAAACAAUUAAAAAAUACGUUUACUGGCGGCAGUCUUCGGUUACUGCAGGUUGUCCGUUGGUAAAACAAUGUACCUAACUAUACGGUUAACUAGUAUUUAAAAGUGUAUUGACUACAGUU
Cinara cedri is the source of this 596-nucleotide non-coding RNA. Lineage: Eukaryota; Metazoa; Arthropoda; Insecta; Hemiptera; Aphididae. The record is from the annotation of a GenBank genome assembly.